AUGAUCUUGUUGCUUAAUACUUCACAUACUACUCACCUAUUGGAAUGUCGGUAAUAUGCUCGAUAAAAUGCCUAACAGAAGGCGUGCGCCGUUUUAUCUCUAAUUUUGAUCCCAUUCGAUUAUAAUUGUAAAAAAUUAUUUUAUAUAUGUAUUAAACCCUCUGUUUGAAUAUUAAAGUCUUUGUUUAUUAUUUAAAUUCCUGUUCAUGUUAUCUUCUUGGAAUAAUUUAAAUUCUUCAAAAACUCCUUCAUCCUUUUGAUCGCUAUUGGAGGUUCGUCGAAUUUAUUGUUCUAAAUCCUUUUGUGCCCCAUCCCGACCUAGUUGCAUAUAAUUAUAUUAUCCUUGCAUGUUCAUUUUAGUUAGCUUAUAGAGAAUCGCGUGUUUCUAUUUUAGAUUCCGACGAUCGAUUUUCUGCACAAUUUUGACUGGAUAUCUUUUAUCUUUGAAGCUGUGUUAAGGUAAGCGACCGAACACCCAUUAGUUUUUGUAAGAUAAUUUAGGAAAAUAUUUUGAUUGUAUGGAAAUCUUAUUUUGUAGAAUUUAAAAUUAAGGGUUAAGCAUAUUAUUAAAUAUCUCUGUAUAUUGAGUUUCAAUUGUGAUUGACAAGUUCGUUUAGCAAAAAGAAUUUUUGAAAUCUGAUAAUUUAUUCUGCAAAUUAGUGACUGGAUAUAUUUUGAAUUAUGAUGUCUCUUGGUAUUCUGCUAUGCAAUGUUGGCCAUUUCGACAUGUACUUUGUUAUAGAAGCAAGCUUCGUCUUUGUUUGCGCCUUCGGGUGCCUGCGCCUAUCCGCGCCUCUGUUUUGUUCGCGCCUUCGGGUGCCCGCGCCUAUCCGCGCCUCUGUUUUGUUUGCGCCUUCGGGUGCCUAUGCUUUGUUUACGCCUUCGGGUGUCUUUGGAUCUCGCCAACGGAUCAUAAGAUAUAGUUAAGUGCCGGAGACAAUAUUUAUUUUGUUUAUAUGUCGAAAGGGAAAUGCUUUGAAAAAUUAUAAUUUCAAUCCGAUCUGAAUUUGAAGUUUUGAUAAAUUCUUGUUUUCUUAAAUUUUGCAAAUUAAAACCAGUCGCUUGAAUUAAUUUGUGUAUCUAUUUAUUUGUAUGCUUAAUCCGACUAAUGUGGUGUAUGGUUGCUUACCCAGGUACUGAGACCGAUUCGCAGGGCGGGGCUGGGAGUGAGUGAACGUUAGAUCUGUCGCGAGAAGAUUCCAUCGACUUAUGGUAAGAGGAAAAUGAGGGCUAUGCUCUAGCAGGCAUCAACUUGCAACCUACAUCCUGCAGUGUCAUACUUUUACUUUCUUUGCAUUUUUUAAACAAACUUUAGAUUCAUUACGUAUUAAUUGCACAGAAAAACUGAAGUAUUGCUGUUUGUGUUCUAUGUUUGGUGGUGCGAGAAUGAAUUAAAGACUCUAUCGAUUUCUCUAUAUAUAUGAAUGUAACAAGACCAAGUAAACUGCCUAUGUAUUUGUAUUUUCUUUUUGUUCUCAGUGGUGUAUGAAUUAAAAGCCCUCCUAUUACUAUCGUCUAUCGAUUUCGUCCUUGUUAUGAAGGAUGGUUAAAGUUUUACUGCUUAA
Ananas comosus (pineapple) is the source of this 1564-nucleotide RNA transcript. RefSeq lists it as uncharacterized. The transcript has 2 exons. The record is from RefSeq and is a predicted model, not a curated record. Lineage: Eukaryota; Viridiplantae; Streptophyta; Magnoliopsida; Poales; Bromeliaceae.